AAAUCCCAAAAGUUCACUGCAGGGCACUUAGCCUCCAAAGACACUGCUCUUGUGGACAGAACUUAAUUGGGGUGAUUUUCUUCUAGAUGGAAGAUUUUUGUGACUAAUCUCUCCAGAGAAAGAAGAGGCAAAAAGGAAACACAGAGGACUGAUGAGCAAGACAACCGAGGGAGAUGGAGUCCAGCGCAGGAGCUGUGGAAGACGGAAACUGACCACACGUGUGGGGCUAAGGUAAGGCCAGCCCUGAAAACACAGAGAGCCCACAACAAGCACAUAGACAAGGCAAGGGGCCCAGGCCAGCCAGGCAAACAAGUUGCCAGGCAGCAGGGUUGAAACUGACAGCUUCCUCUUGAGUGUAUAAGUAAACCUGCUACAGAGGCUGAGCAGCUCCUUCUCUCCAUCAGGAGGGUAAGGGUUUGACCUGAUCCUAGUUUUGUCUCUUCUUUAUUUUCUCAUCCUCUGGCAGUCCUUCACCCCAAGAACCCCAAGAGCUGCAUGGGUCGCGGCAAUCUAAGAAGAAAAAGUUACACAGUUGAAAAAAAAAUUCAACAUAGGAAGUCUGGAAAUAACUGAAAUAGUAACGAUGUAACCACAAAGAUGUGUCCAGGGGCCCUGAGGGGACACGCCAGAGGAGACUGCCGGGUGAAGCCAAGGCUGAAGAGGCAGAGUUGUUUCUGGUCUUUAGACUCUAUCCCAGCCUCACGAUUGGACACCCAUGGUUUGCAACCAAACCCAGCUAGCCCAGUUGCCCCAAAGCCAAGCAGUCAUCCGGGAGACAUCUAUAACACCACCAUCCCAUGUCCAGCCUAGUUCAGCAGAACCCUCCCUACACAGGUGAGAAAUCUUACUUGUCAGAACCCACUAAGCUUUUGCAGUUGACAUGCAGCAAGAAAAUCUAACAGAUACAUAACAUUCAGUGUCUGGUUUCCUCAUCUGCUAAUAAAACAAAAACUGGCUCUGUGUAAAUCUAAACAAGUCCGUAACACAUAAAAAACCCUAAAAUUUCACUGCCUUUUUCACAAUAACUCACGAAUUCGUAUCCUGGAAAUUGUGCAGCAGUUUUAUGAUUUUUUUCUGAUUUGAUUUUAUUUUAAACAGGGCAAAGGGAACCAAAAAAGGGAAGAAAUCCACAGACAAGAAAAACAAAACCAAAAGAGACAAACAACAAGAAAAAACCCAAAACAAGAAUAAUUUAGGCUUUCAAAACAAGAUGAUAGGAAUUUAACAAUGGUUGUCAUUUUGCACAGUUAUCUUCAAAAGAGUUGUUUAGAUUACCAGAUAUAGAUAUGCAAAAUUGAUCUAAUCAUAUGAGCAUUAACUAUUCUGUUCCAAGGACUAAUAUAAUUAGUAGUAUAAUCAUCUUAACUGUCAUAUAUAUAUAUAUAUAUAUAUAUAUGUACAAAAUUAUGUUUUUUCUUUCCCUCUCCUUUUCCCUGAGUUAUUUUUCCCCUUUGAGCAGCUUCUUACUCUUCCACAAUAUUUAUUGAAGACUUUGGAUCUUAUUUAUUCUUUCAGUUUCUUACACUAGGGAGACAAUACAGUAUUUACACAUGUAAGUUUGAUUUAAUUUACUUAUGAGUAUGGUUUAAAGUUGCCUCCAUUACCUAUAUUUUUAAUGUAGCGGGAACGUGACAUGAAAAUGUAUAGCAAAACAACUUACAUUCUUAUGUUUUAUCAUUGUUGGAGUUAAAUCCUAAUAUUAUACAUCAUGGUAUCCUGGGGAAGGAAUUUAAUAAAAGUGACAAUAUAU
Molecule: long non-coding RNA, 1750 nt
Organism: Cavia porcellus (domestic guinea pig)
Lineage: Eukaryota; Metazoa; Chordata; Mammalia; Rodentia; Caviidae
Source: Ensembl